This 608-nucleotide ribosomal RNA is filed under the name uncultured Clostridium a12r. RNAcentral describes it as "bacterial SSU rRNA". It matches the Rfam family "Bacterial small subunit ribosomal RNA", at positions 894 to 1501 of the family's 1533-position model. The record is from RNAcentral. Lineage: Bacteria; Bacillati; Bacillota; Clostridia; Eubacteriales; Clostridiaceae.
UUGAAACUCAAAGGAAUUGACGGGGACCCGCACAAGUAGCGGAGCAUGUGGUUUAAUUCGAAGCAACGCGAAGAACCUUACCUAAGCUUGACAUCCUUUUGACCUCUCCCUAAUCGGAGAUUUCCCUUCGGGGACAAAAGUGACAGGUGGUGCAUGGUUGUCGUCAGCUCGUGUCGUGAGAUGUUGGGUUAAGUCCCGCAACGAGCGCAACCCUUGCCUUUAGUUGCCAGCAUUAAGUUGGGCACUCUAGAGGGACUGCCAGGGAUAACCUGGAGGAAGGUGGGGAUGACGUCAAAUCAUCAUGCCCCUUAUGCUUAGGGCUACACACGUGCUACAAUGGGUGGUACAGAGGGCAGCCAAGUCGUGAGGCGGAGCUAAUCCCUUAAAGCCAUUCUCAGUUCGGAUUGUAGGCUGAAACUCGCCUACAUGAAGCUGGAGUUACUAGUAAUCGCAGAUCAGAAUGCUGCGGUGAAUGCGUUCCCGGGUCUUGUACACACCGCCCGUCACACCACGGAAGUUGGGGGCGCCCGAAGCCAGAUAGCUAACCGUUUGGAAGCGUCUGUCGAAGGUGAAAUCAAUAACUGGGGUGAAGUCGUAACAAGGUAGCC